RNAcentral lists this ribosomal RNA (205 nucleotides) under uncultured bacterium. RNAcentral's name for it is "partial 16S ribosomal RNA". It matches the Rfam family "Bacterial small subunit ribosomal RNA", at positions 524 to 728 of the family's 1533-position model. The record is from RNAcentral.
UACGGAGGGAGCUAGCGUUAUUCGGAAUUACUGGGCGUAAAGCGCACGUAGGCGGCUUUGUAAGUUAGAGGUGAAAGCCUGGAGCUCAACUCCAGAAUUGCCUUUAAGACUGCAUCGCUUGAAUCCAGGAGAGGUGAGUGGAAUUCCGAGUGUAGAGGUGAAAUUCGUAGAUAUUCGGAAGAACACCAGUGGCGAAGGCGGCUCA